AAACACCAAGAUUUUGGGCUUAAAAACCUAGACCAUCAAGGCUACGAAAACUACUGCUGCUGAAUGAGAGAGUAAUGUAAUUCUGGAGCUCCUUAAGGAAAAGAGUAGUGCGAUGCAACAUCAGAACAGUGGCCAAGCGAUCUCCACACCACCCAUGAACUUCAGCCUUGAACCGAAGAUGAUUCAUCAAAUGCCUUAGGAAAGACAGUAUGGAGUUGGAAGAGAAGCAGGGAUCUCCAUGAAGGGCAGUCGGUUAUAGUUGGGGUGUGUGGAGGAACAGGUCCUGUUCUCGCUGUUGUUACUCCCACAUAGGCAGACUCUGUAAUUGAUUAUGUGUGGGUAGGGCCCUAUUGAAAUUCAGGAGAUUCUGCAGUAGUGCGGGGUUCUUUUUGUGAAAGUUGAGUUGCAAGAUCAGGACCCUACUGUGCCUCCUUACUGUGCAUUCUGUCACUGUCUCAUUGAUUGUACUGGAACCUGCCUAUUGGGAUAAUCACCAAAUACUAUAUUCCUCAAAACUUCUUAAUGGCACUGAGGCUUUGUGGAUAGUUGGUCACAUGGUGAGAAAAUUCAGCUAUUCUGCAGAUCACAUGGCUGGCAGACACAGAAAUAAUUUCACAAAUGAAAAUGGAAGAAGGAAAAUCCAUGAAGAUUGUAUUGAAGAAUAAUACUGAAAAAAAGGAAGUCUUUAGACCACUGUCUACAGAUCUGGAUCAUUUCUUUGAAAAGACAGUUGAAGAAACAGUGAACAAAAAUGGUCUACUUUGCCUGUAGUGCUGAGCUAUUGUGAUAGUUUGAUUUUUAUGAUUUGCAUCAAGCAUGAAGCUUUCAAAGCCGUAUGUCAAAGAGAGCAGGCAGUGCUGGGGCUUGCUUUGUACUGUUGCCACUUUAAUUCUCUGUGACAAGCUGCAGAGCCACAGAAGCAGCCUGGCAGCAGCACUCGAGCUCCAAGUGCAGCAGAAGUAGGGAGCCCUGGAGGAGCCCGUCACAGCUCUCGGUCACUGGCCAGCUCAUUGCUUGUAGAAGUUAGCAUGCUUAAGUUGACAUUGAUCCCUCGAGGGACUAGCUACCAGCUAAACAAAACUGGAGCACAGGGCUAGCCAAGCAUAGAUUCUCUGUGACCCUGUGUCAGGACCUGUCAUCCUGUUGUAAAAGCCAGCUAUGUUACCUCCUUGUCCUCUGAGACUCCCAGGGAAUCUCCAAGUAAAUGAAGAGGGGAGUUAUUUACAUCUCCUUCAUGUCUCCAGCCCAAUCUUUCUUGUUAAAAAAAAACAACAAAAAACAAAAAAACCAAAAAAA
Ficedula albicollis (Collared flycatcher) is the source of this 1296-nucleotide long non-coding RNA. RefSeq lists it as uncharacterized. The transcript has 9 exons. The record is from RefSeq and is a predicted model, not a curated record. NCBI's taxonomy places the organism in Eukaryota, Metazoa, Chordata, Aves, Passeriformes, Muscicapidae.